RNAcentral lists this ribosomal RNA (342 nucleotides) under uncultured Serratia sp. RNAcentral describes it as "partial 16S ribosomal RNA". Lineage: Bacteria; Pseudomonadati; Pseudomonadota; Gammaproteobacteria; Enterobacterales; Yersiniaceae. The record is from RNAcentral.
CGACUUCAUGGAGUCGAGUUGCAGACUCCAAUCCGGACUACGACAUACUUUAUGAGGUCCGCUUGCUCUCGCGAGCUUGGCUUCUCUUUGUAUAUGCCAUUGUAGCACGUGUGUAGCCCUAUUCGUAAGGGCCAUGAUGACUUGACGUCAUCCCCACCUUCCUCCGGUUUAUCACCGGCAGUCUCCUUUGAGUUCCCACCAUUACGUGCUGGCAACAAAGGAUAAGGGUUGCGCUCGUUGCGGGACUUAACCCAACAUUUCACAACACGAGCUGACGACAGCCAUGCAGCACCUGUCUCAGAGUUCCCGAAGGCACUAACCUAUCUCUAGGGAAUUCUCUGG